CAGUCGCCGCGGUAAUACGAAGGGGGCUAGCGUUGUUCGGAGUUACUGGGCGUAAAGGGCGCGUAGGCGGCCAUUCAAGUUAGAUGUGAAAGCCCUGGGCUCAACCUAGGAAUUGCAUUUGAUACUGUUUGGCUUGAGUUCGGGAGAGGUGAGUGGAAUUCCGGUGUAGCGGUGAAAUGCGUAGAUAUCGGAAGGAACACCUGUGGCGAAAGCGGCUCACUGGACCAUUUCUGACGCUGAUGCACGAAAGCUAGGGGAGCAAACAGGAUUAGAUACCCGAGUAGUCCCUGUCUCUUAUACA
This 301-nucleotide ribosomal RNA is filed under the name uncultured bacterium. RNAcentral's name for it is "partial 16S ribosomal RNA". It matches the Rfam family "Bacterial small subunit ribosomal RNA", at positions 509 to 808 of the family's 1533-position model. The record is from RNAcentral.